UUUAAUGAUAGUUUAAUAAAAAUAAAAUUUUGUGGUAAUUUAGAUAUUAUUUUUUAAUUCAUUAA
This 65-nucleotide transfer RNA is filed under the name Didemnum perlucidum. Its description in RNAcentral is "tRNA-His". The record is from RNAcentral. Lineage: Eukaryota; Metazoa; Chordata; Ascidiacea; Aplousobranchia; Didemnidae.